UACGUAGGGUGCAAGCGUUGUCCGGAAUUAUUGGGCGUAAAGAGCUCGUAGGCGGCUUGUCGCGUCGACUGUGAAAUCCCGCGGCUCAACUGCGGGUCUGCAGUCGAUACGGGCAGGCUAGAGUUCGGUAGGGGAGACUGGAAUUCCUGGUGUAGCGGUGAAAUGCGCAGAUAUCAGGAAGAACACCAGUGGCGAAGGCGACUUACUGGACACAUAUUGACGCUGAGGUGCGAAAGCGUGGGGAGCAAACAGG
RNAcentral lists this ribosomal RNA (253 nucleotides) under uncultured bacterium. RNAcentral describes it as "partial 16S ribosomal RNA". It matches the Rfam family "Bacterial small subunit ribosomal RNA", at positions 524 to 776 of the family's 1533-position model. The record is from RNAcentral.